CAGCGCCACGGGAAUACGGAGGGGGCUAGCGUUGUUCGGAAUUACUGGGCGUAAAGCGCACGUAGGCGGCUUGGUAAGUUAGAGGUGAAAGCCUGGAGCUCAACUCCAGAAUUGCCUUUAAGACUGCCGAGCUAGCAGGUGAGAGAGGUAAGUGGAAUUCCGAGUGUAGAGGUGAAAUUCGUAGAUAUUCGGAAGAACACCAGUGGCGAAGGCGGCUUACUGGCUCAUACUGGACGCUGAGGUGCGAAAGCGUGGGGAGCAAACAGGAUUAGAUACCCCUGUAGUCCCUGUCUCUUAUACA
Molecule: ribosomal RNA, 301 nt
Filed under: uncultured bacterium
Lineage: Bacteria
Description: partial 16S ribosomal RNA
Rfam family: Bacterial small subunit ribosomal RNA
Source: RNAcentral